Triticum aestivum (bread wheat) is the source of this 2119-nucleotide long non-coding RNA. RefSeq lists it as uncharacterized. The record is from RefSeq and is a predicted model, not a curated record. The transcript has 2 exons. Lineage: Eukaryota; Viridiplantae; Streptophyta; Magnoliopsida; Poales; Poaceae.
CCCCGGCACUCUCUCUCCCAUCCCUAAAAAAAACUCUCUCACAAACUCACCUGCUCCUCUCCCCACGAUCUCCUCGCCGCCGCCACCACCCACCCACGAUCUCCCCCAAGCUCCCACCUUCCUCCGCUCUAAUCCCCCAUGGAAGCCACCGCCGCCGCCUCCCUCGCGCGGACCCUCGCCUCCCCGCUGCUCCCGCCGUAGCCGCGUGCGCGUGGCCGUGGCGCCGGAGCGGCGGAGGAGGGGUAGGGCGGUGCUCUCCGCGGCGGCCUCGACGGGCAACUACAUGGUGCCACCUUCCUCCAAGACCAGCCGCCUCGUGCUGCGGCUGAUGGCAGUGGCGCAGCGAGUCUCCCACCUCACCACCACCGCUGCUUGCCGUCCGUCCCUCCUUCCGUCUAUGGCGACGGCGACCUCCGGCGUCAGCAGGCUCAGCGCAGCGGCGGGUAACAACGACGGCGACGUCGGCCUCCAAGACCCCAUCCCGGCCUCUGUUGGAAUAUGUAGGUACCCACUCCUUCCCCUUCCCCUUCACUUGCUGCCCGCUCUCUUCAAAUCUGUUUCUGCAUCCUCUGUUAGAACUUGUUUGCUCUCUGUUUUUUGGAGAUGUGCUAGUCUGUAUGAAUGUAUAAUUGGUACGUAGCUCAAAACGAAACUUGCAAAUGGUUCAAUACAUUUACAGGCAGCACCGAGAUGGCAUGGUUGAACGCAAAAAGCAAAUGCCAUGACUGACGAAACUGAAAAAAUUGAACACUUCCUUCCUCGUCCUGGGUGAAAACCAUGUGACUGCACAACCGUGCUUUGCUAGUACAUGCAGGUUCAGUGAGUUUGGAACCGAUGGAGGACAACAGCAAAGUCUGAAGCCAAAGUUCAACCUCUUUGUCAAGCAGGUGUCCGCCAGCAUUGGGAUGGCAGAGCCACACAUUGAUGUAUGGAUAUUUUCUGGUUGCUUACCCCGUUCUACAUCAUUGUUUUUUGUUUAAGGAUCCAUUCACCUAGUUCCUAGUUUUGAUGGAUUUUGUUCUGUUUGUUUACAAAUCAAGUCUUUCAUUGCCUUUACCGUGUUUCUUAAAGCCUUUGGUGGUCUGCUUUUCAUCAUCAGCAGCUCGUUUGGAGCAUUCGUACUGGUGUGUACUCUUCUUCUGAAUGCACUGUAUCAAGAAUUAUUUCAUGUUAAGGGGGUAUCAAGAUGCAUACUAUUGUGGCUGCCAUUAAUGUAGACUUGCAGCACCAUGUCUUCUCAAACUAAUAAAAAGGAAGUAUUGUUGCCAUGCCAUUUAGGUAGUUUUAACAAUUUUAGUGUGUCCAUUUUACUGGCUGUAAAAUGCCAAAUCUGGCAUUAUUGCUGCUUCGAUGUUUGAUCUUCAUACAUUUUGCUUCUGCAAUAUCCUGUUGUAGCAUCUGACAGUGGAAUGCUUCAACAACAACCUUCCUGAAAGAUUCCAAAUGUGGUGGCAGGUUAUUCUUAUUUUUUAACCACUUGAUAGGCUCAUGUCUGUUGAGUUUGUGCAACUGAUUUGCUACAGUCCAAAUUUACGUGUUUAUGCUUAUAUUUAUUGUUUGCAUUCUAUAUGUGACAAUGCAACAGUUCUUUGAGGCAUCAAUCCAUGAUAACUGGGCAUAUCGGUUUAUGCUUAGAUAUAAAGAAACCAAAUAUAUAUUCUGUCUUAUUAUACGGAACCAAUUGUAUUUAAUCCAUGUUAAAAUGAUUAUGCAUUUAUCAUGUUGGAACUUCUUUGUCAAGCAGGUCUCCGCCAACAUUGGGAAUUUGGGAUGGCAGUGCCACACAUUGAUGGCAAUGGAUAAAAUCUACUCUGGAUAGUUGACAGAGAGAGUACAUGCUAAGUUGACUUUUUUCCUGCGGAUUUGCUUAUCCUGAAGAUGCUUGCAAGGAUGCAGAGGGAGCGGAUCAUUUGGAGAGAUAGGAUGCCACUGUUUGGUGUUUUUAUGCAUUUUGGUUUGCUUGUAACUGUGUUUGCACUAGCUGGGAGUAAGUGACUUGGCAAGAAGUGUAGGUGUUUUAAUUGAAGGCAUGAAAAGCCAUGACAAUAUGUAUGCUCUUACAGGAUGUGCUCUAAUGCCGCUGGUUUAUUAUAAAUCUUGGAUUAGUAAUGAUGUGUAA